Molecule: ribosomal RNA, 1371 nt
Filed under: uncultured bacterium
Lineage: Bacteria
Description: bacterial SSU rRNA
Rfam family: Bacterial small subunit ribosomal RNA
Source: RNAcentral
GAUGAACGCUGGCGGCGUGCCUAAUACAUGCAAGUCGAGCGAACGGACGAGAAGCUUGCUUCUCUGAUGUUAGCGGCGGACGGGUGAGUAACACGUGGAUAACCUACCUAUAAGACUGGGAUAACUUCGGGAAACCGUAGCUAAUACCGGAUAAUAUUUUGAACCGCAUGGUUCAAAAGUGAAAGACGGUCUUGCUGUCACUUAUAGAUGGAUCCGCGCUGCAUUAGCUAGUUGGUAAGGUAACGGCUUACCAAGGCAACGAUACAUAGCCGACCUGAGAGGGUGAUCGGCCACACUGGAACUGAGACACGGUCCAGACUCCUACGGGAGGCAGCAGUAGGGAAUCUUCCGCAAUGGGCGAAAGCCUGACGGAGCAACGCCGCGUGAGUGAUGAAGGUCUUCGGAUCGUAAAACUCUGUUAUUAGGGAAGAACAUAUGUGUAAGUAACUGUGCACAUCUUGACGGUACCUAAUCAGAAAGCCACGGCUAACUACGUGCCAGCAGCCGCGGUAAUACGUANGUGGCAAGCGUUAUCCGGAAUUAUUGGGCGUAAAGCGCGCGUAGGCGGUUUUUUAGUCUGAUGUGAAAGCCCACGGGCUCACCGUGGAGGGUCAUUGGAAACUGGAAAACUUGAGUGCAGAAGAGGAAAGUGGAAUUCCAUGUGUAGCGGUGAAAUGCGCAGAGAUAUGGAGGAACACCAGUGGCGAAGGCGACUUUCUGGUCUGUAACUGACGCUGAUGUGCGAAAGCGUGGGGAUCAAACAGGGUUAGAUACCCUGGUAGUCCACGCCGUAAACGAUGAGUGCUAAGUGUUAGGGGGUUUCCGCCCCUUAGUGCUGCAGCUAACGCAUUAAGCACUCCGCCUGGGGAGUACGACCGCAAGGUUGAAACUCAAAGGAAUUGACGGGGACCCGCACAAGCGGUGGAGCAUGUGGUUUAAUUCGAAGCAACGCGAAGAACCUUACCAAAUCUUGACAUCCUUUGACAACUCUAGAGAUAGAGCUUUCCCCUUCGGGGGACAAAGUGACAGGUGGUGCAUGGUUGUCGUCAGCUCGUGUCGUGAGAUGUUGGGUUAAGUCCCGCAACGAGCGCAACCCUUAAGCUUAGUUGCCAUCAUUAAGUUGGGCACUCUAAGUUGACUGCCGGUGACAAACCGGAGGAAGGUGGGGAUGACGUCAAAUCAUCAUGCCCCUUAUGAUUUGGGCUACACACGUGCUACAAUGGACAAUACAAAGGGCAGCGAAACCGUGAGGUCAAGCAAAUCCCAUAAAGUUGUUCUCAGUUCGGAUUGUAGUCUGCAACUCGACUACAUGAAGCUGGAAUCGCUAGUAAUCGUAGAUCAGCAUGCUACGGUGAAUACGUUCCCGGGUCU